Molecule: ribosomal RNA, 1382 nt
Filed under: uncultured bacterium
Lineage: Bacteria
Description: bacterial SSU rRNA
Rfam family: Bacterial small subunit ribosomal RNA
Source: RNAcentral
GUUUGAUCCUGGCUCAGGAUGAACGCUAGCGGCAGGCCUAAUACAUGCAAGUCGAGGGGUAAGGUUCACUUCGGUGAACACACGACCGGCGCACGGGUGCGUAACGCGUAUGCAACCUACCAUUAACUGGGGAAUAGCCCCGAGAAAUCGGGAUUAAUGCCCCAUAAUAACAUUUUAGGACAUCCUUUUAUGUUUAAAGCUCCGGCGGUUAAUGAUGGGCAUGCGUGACAUUAGUUUGUUGGUGAGGUAACGGCUCACCAAGACUACGAUGUCUAGGGGUUCUGAGAGGAAGAUCCCCCACACUGGUACUGGGACACGGACCAGACUCCUACGGGAGGCAGCAGUGGGGAAUAUUGCACAAUGGACGAAAGUCUGAUGCAGCAACGCCGCGUGGAGGAUGACACAUUUCGGUGCGUAAACUCCUUUUAUGUGAGAAGAUAAUGACGGUAUCACAUGAAUAAGCACCGGCUAACUCCGUGCCAGCAGCCGCGGUAAUACGGAGGGUGCAAGCGUUACUCGGAAUCACUGGGCGUAAAGCGCGCGCAGGCGGCUUUGUAAGUUGGAUGUGAAAUCCUAUGGCUCAACCAUAGAACUGCAUCCAAAACUACUUAGCUAGAGUCUGGGAGGGGAAGAUGGAAUUAGUGGUGUAGGGGUAAAAUCCGUAGAGAUCACUAGGAAUACCAAAAGCGAAGGCGAUCUUCUGGAACAGUACUGACGCUGAGGCGCGAAAGCGUGGGGAGCAAACAGGAUUAGAUACCCUGGUAGUCCACGCCCUAAACGAUGAAUGUUAGUCGUCGGGAGGCUCGUCCUUUCGGUGAUGCAGCUAACGCAUUAAACAUUCCGCCUGGGGAGUACGGUCGCAAGAUUAAAACUCAAAGGAAUAGACGGGGACCCGCACAAGUGGUGGAGCAUGUGGUUUAAUUCGAAGAUACGCGAAGAACCUUACCUGGCCUUGACAUUGAUAGAACACUCUAGAGAUUGAGUGGUGCCCUUCGGGGAGCUUGAAAACAGGUGCUGCACGGCUGUCGUCAGCUCGUGUCGUGAGAUGUUGGGUUAAGUCCCGCAACGAGCGCAACCCUCGUCACUAGUUACUAACGGUUCGGCCGAGGACUCUAGUGAGACUGCCUUCGUAAGGAGGAGGAAGGUGAGGACGACGUCAAGUCAUCAUGGCCCUUACGGCCAGGGCGACACACGUGCUACAAUGGGUAGGACAAUGAGACGCAAUACCGCGAGGUGGAGCAAAUCUAUAAACCUACUCUCAGUUCGGAUUGUAGUCUGCAACUCGACUACAUGAAGCUGGAAUCACUAGUAAUCGUAGAUCAGCCAUGCUACGGUGAAUACGUUCCCGGGUCUUGUACUCACCGCCCGUCACACCAUGGGAG